AACGUAGGUGGCGAGCGUUAUCCGGAUUUACUGGGCGUAAAGCGUGUGCAGGCGGUCUUCCAAGUGGUGUAUGAAAUCGCCCGGCUUAACCGGGUGAGGUUAGGCCAGACUGGGAGACUGGAGGACGGGAGAGGGGCGUGGAAUUCCGGGUGUAGUGGUGAAAUGCGUAGAGAUCCGGAGGAACCCCAGCGGCGAAGGCGGCGCCCUGGCCCGUUUCUGACGCUCAGACACGACAGCAUGGGGAGCGAACGGG
Molecule: ribosomal RNA, 253 nt
Filed under: uncultured bacterium
Lineage: Bacteria
Description: partial 16S ribosomal RNA
Rfam family: Bacterial small subunit ribosomal RNA
Source: RNAcentral